UACGUAGGGGGCAAGCGUUAUCCGGAUUUACUGGGUGUAAAGGGAGCGUAGGCGGUAAUGCAAGUCAGAAGUGAAAACCCCGGGCUUAACCCUGGGAUUGCUUUUGAAACUGUAUAACUAGAGUGCUGGAGGGGUAAGCGGAAUUCCUAGUGUAGCGGUGAAAUGCGUAGAUAUUAGGAAGAACACCGGUGGCGAAGGCGGCUUACUGGACAGUAACUGACGCUGAGGCUCGAAAGCGUGGGGAG
This 245-nucleotide ribosomal RNA is filed under the name uncultured Lachnospiraceae bacterium. RNAcentral describes it as "partial 16S ribosomal RNA". It matches the Rfam family "Bacterial small subunit ribosomal RNA", at positions 524 to 768 of the family's 1533-position model. The record is from RNAcentral. Lineage: Bacteria; Bacillati; Bacillota; Clostridia; Lachnospirales; Lachnospiraceae.